Non-coding RNA from Cololabis saira (Pacific saury), 84 nucleotides. Lineage: Eukaryota; Metazoa; Chordata; Actinopteri; Beloniformes; Belonidae. The record is from the annotation of a RefSeq genome assembly.
AGUAGCGUGGCCGAGCGAUCUAAGGCACUGGAUUAAGGCUCCAGUCUCUUCGGGGGGCUGUGGGUUCAAAUCCCACCGCUGCCA